RNAcentral lists this ribosomal RNA (499 nucleotides) under uncultured bacterium. RNAcentral's name for it is "bacterial SSU rRNA". It matches the Rfam family "Bacterial small subunit ribosomal RNA", at positions 38 to 507 of the family's 1533-position model. The record is from RNAcentral.
GGCGGCAGGCCUAACACAUGCAAGUCGAGCGGAAACGAGUUAACAGACCCUUCGGGUGACGUUAACGGCGUCGAGCGGCGGACGGGUGAGUAAUGCCUGGGAAAUUGCCCUGAUGUGGGGGAGUAACCAUUGGUAAACGAUGGCUAAUACCGCAUAAUGCCUUCGGGCCAAAGAGGGGGGGGACCGUUCGGGGGGCCUCUCGCGUCAGGAUAUGCCCCAGGUGGAUUAGCUAGUUGGUGAGGUAAUGGCUCACCAAGGCGACGAUCCCUAGCUGGUCUGAGAGGAUGAUCAGCCACACUGGAACUGAGACACGGUCCAGACUCCUACGGGAGGCAGCAGUGGGGAAUAUUGCACAAUGGGCGCAAGCCUGAUGCAGCCAUGCCGCGUGUGUGAAGAAGGCCUUCGGGUUGUAAAGCACUUUCAGCAGUGAGGAAGGCGGGUACGUCAAUAGCGUGCUCGUUUGACGUUAGCUGCAGAAGAAGCACCGGCUAACUCCGUG